This 230-nucleotide long non-coding RNA is filed under the name Lathyrus oleraceus (garden pea). RNAcentral describes it as "Pisum sativum (pea) long non-coding RNA (PSAT_LNC010873)". Lineage: Eukaryota; Viridiplantae; Streptophyta; Magnoliopsida; Fabales; Fabaceae. The record is from RNAcentral.
UUGAAUGAAAAUAUCAUUGCACAAAUGUUGCCAACAAUGUCAUCACUUCUCCUUUUGGCAUGGGAGAAGGGUUUUUAAACAAAGUGAUUAUUACUCUGACUUAUGAACAACUGUAGGAACACCCACAGCGACCCAAUUGUGUCAGAUCCCGCCAGGGAUGACAAAUGUCAGUAUCCUUUGCAUCAGCAACUUCCCCACUCUGAUUGACGUGGAUAAAACCUCCACUUCUG